Capsicum annuum is the source of this 1193-nucleotide long non-coding RNA. RefSeq lists it as uncharacterized. NCBI's taxonomy places the organism in Eukaryota, Viridiplantae, Streptophyta, Magnoliopsida, Solanales, Solanaceae. The record is from RefSeq and is a predicted model, not a curated record. The transcript is spliced from 2 exons.
ACGUGUCCUCAUCCGUAUAAUUAUAUCCCACGAAAAUACAAAAAUAACAACCCUUAAAAAAAUCUCUAACAAAUUAAAUCCCUAACCUUAUCCUAACAAACUUUAUCCUAACAACCCACACUACUCCCCACAUCACCCCACCCAUUUCCCCUCAUAUUUUUCCUUUUUGGGGUCCAUAACAGAAUAUAAAACAAAAAGGGGGAAAGGGGGACCCACAGAGAAGGGCGCAGAAGGGAAUACGCACAACAGAGUGGAGAAUUUUCUUUUCUUCUGCGCCAUCACAGAAUACAACAUACACACGCAGAAGCCUCCCUGACCAUUUCCUCUCACAGUACAUAAAUACCCUCACACUCACUGAUAAGAAAAAUAACCCAUCCAUCAACACCAAGAUAGACACAGAAUAUGCCAUAGGCGUACAUCUCUCAAAUACACCCAUAGAUAUAGGCGAUUAUACGAAAAUUGGGUGAGGGUGAAGCGAGAUCGAGCGAAAAAUAGAGAGAAAGAGGGGAUCGAACCGGAGAGAGUGAGAUUUGAGGUUGAGAGUUAAAAGCAGAGAAGAAACGUGCGAGAGAGAAAUUUGGACUGAGUUUUUCACCGGAAACGUUGUCGCUACAGAUCGCAUCUCCGUUUCUAGUUGCUGCCGAACUUACUGGAGCUCAGGAGUAGCAAAGGGUCCUCGUUUUUCAGUUCAAAAUCCACCGGAAAACACCCAGUCACUGUUCCUGUUACUGUUCCGACGGGUCCACCGGAUUUUCGAACUCAUUGACUCUCUUAUUGCGAUUUCUGUUUUGGUUCAUCGAGCUCGGUACUAGUUUUGAAAUUUAAGUUCGAUUUCAGUUUCGGGUUUGGAUUUCUCCCAAUUCGAGUUGGUUUUGUUUUGUUGUUGGGGUUCCCUUUCGAAGAUUUCGGUCUCGAAUUUCUUUCUUAUCGACAAAAACAUUAUAUUGAGAUGUAUUUAUUUGGCUGGAGAAUGCCCCGAGGUAUUUGUGUUCAUUCGCCGGGAAUGCCCCGAAGUAUCAUGUACUUGAAGACAACGCACGGUCAAAGCCCGAAAUGUCGGGUGAAGCUUUAUUCAGGAGUAUUUUAAGGAUAGUUUGGAAUAGAAUGGGUUUACAUUUUCGCAUUUUUCAUUAUUUGGGACUGUAUAGUUGGACUGGACACUAUAUUUUUUUAUUCAUUUUGUUUUGUUUGUU